CAAGUCCCUAGAGGCUUUGUAGGUAUGGCUUCUGUUUCACACGUGCACCCAUAGGUGGCAGAGCAGAGACAGGCUAUGUCUACAAUGUUUUGACUUAUGAAUUUAAGUAGCCUAACAUU
This 119-nucleotide small nucleolar RNA is filed under the name Meriones unguiculatus (Mongolian gerbil). RNAcentral's name for it is "Small nucleolar RNA SNORA17 (ENSMUGG00000007757.1)". It matches the Rfam family "Small nucleolar RNA SNORA17". From Rfam's summary of the family: snoRNA ACA 17 belongs to the H/ACA family of snoRNAs and is predicted to guide pseudouridylation of the 28S rRNA at positions U4659 and U4598. It shares the same host gene together with ACA43. NB This family has a high threshold value to exclude a large number of closely related sequences that do not appear to have conserved H and ACA boxes, and may be pseudogenes. Lineage: Eukaryota; Metazoa; Chordata; Mammalia; Rodentia; Muridae. The record is from RNAcentral.